AUUUGAAGAUACGGAAAGUUCAGAAGAAAGUUUUGACAUAAUAUUCUCCAUAAGGUUUAUGAAGAAGUUGAUGCAACAGAUGGAUAAACUCCAAUUCUUUCCGAUCUUAAGGCCAAAUUCCCAUGUCAAGAUGGUUGAUAAAAAGUGGAUUGAUGUUGUCCCAUCAUCUCCAAACUCGUACCAAUUUUAUUGUUCAAUUUACAGUUCCUUAAACGCAUGCCCG
This 223-nucleotide unclassified non-coding RNA is filed under the name Hevea brasiliensis (rubber tree). Lineage: Eukaryota; Viridiplantae; Streptophyta; Magnoliopsida; Malpighiales; Euphorbiaceae. The record is from RNAcentral.